ACUUUUACUCCAUAGUGUAUUUCCGUUGAGAGGGAAAUAUUAUACUUUCCUCAAUAUAUAGUCGGUCAUGUCCGUUUCUACACAGGUUUCCCACGGCGACAUACUGUAAUAAUAAUAGUAUGUGAAUGGAAACACGUGUGUGUGUAGGGGACCGUGUGAGGAUUCUCAUCCACCAGUGAUCCCAAGGAACUGUUGAGGGAAGAAGUCGACCUUCGGCCCCGACACCCCCGUAACCAGUGAUGUCCCUCAAGGCCUAACAAACACUCCCACUCAGCCCCUCGUCCUCAGCCUCUGCAUGUACACACACACACACAACAUCAGACAGCUGUUCACUUUCCCCUUUGACCUCCACGCCGCCGCAGGAGGAAGUGGCGCCGGUGACCCGGCGUCACAGGACGGCCCGCGGUGACGAUCGGGCAGACGGGUCAGCGGAGGAGUAAAUAAAAAACACAGUUUUGUGGCGCAGGUGUUCUGAUUGCGUCGACGUGUGGAAACAUCGGCUGCGAGUGUUUACGCGUCGUGCGUCCGUGUGUCUGGUGUGUGUGUGUGUUUGUGUGCACGCGUGUGCGUGUGAUUAUUCCCGGGCGACAGCGUGAGAAGCGCUCCUCCCGAGGGAAGCCUUUGACUGACCCGCAACAGGAAGUGGGGGCCGACCCCCUUUCCUACGGAACACACGCGCGUUGGUACUUGCACCCUUUUAGUCACAGCGCUUCCCCCAUAAACUCACGUCUGCAACCUUCACUGAGGGAGUAAAUCCAGAGAGAAGUGGGGUCGUUUUCUCAUAGACGUCCAUGGGACCAGAGCAGUCGCCCCCUGCUGGUCACUGCACAGAAUGCAGCUUUAACACAGCAGGAGACGCAAAUUACAAUGGCUUCAUCCUCUGGGAACCAUGAGCCACACACACACACGCACACGCACACACACACACACACACACACACACACAGAUGAGCUAUUAGCCUGUGCUGCCAUCUUUCGGGGGGAGUUGCUGACACUGAUUUCAAACUGUCGCUGACUUGCUGCGGCAGCAAAAAGCAAUAAAUCAAACGCUAAUAAACUGAGGAUUAGCAGUAAGAUCUCCAUCUUUCAUUUCCUCCAUCCGUCCACGGAGGUGACGGAGGGGCUUCAUCGGAUGAGAUAACCGGCACAGGGAAACGUUUGAUGCACAUUUGAAUACUUUUUUAUUACUGUAUUGUUCCGUUAUUUGACGGCGGCGAGCAGCUAAAGGAAAUAAGCGAUGUGACGCCGGUCGGAUUCCGGGAGAUUAAAGGAAAUUAGUUCAAUUUUUAAUCAUUGUCACAAACUUAUGUGACGGAGGCCGGAUGGGAGACGAGGGAGGACACACAAAAGCUGCAUGAGUAAUAACCCCCAGAGGAACAAAUGUCUGGUGACCCGCCGCUUAUUGCUGGAGGAUGUUCCCACCUUUUUAUGACGUACAUUCAUGGUAUUAAAAAUAUGUGUCCCAAAACAUUCAGUUCACCAAAAAUACCAGUUUCACUGUCUGAGUGUGUCCAAGAAUUAGAAUUUAUUUAUACUUUUAUUUUGUUUUUGCUGCAGUAAAAACCUUUACUACUAACUAUUUAGUAAAGAAUAAAUCGCGUUGGAACUUUUAAAUAUAUUGUUCAAUGUCUCUCUUUAAUUCUACGGCAACGGUUAAUUUAAUAUCUAAUAAUUAAAUCUUUAAUGAUGUUGAGUAAAAACUACUUACACAGAAAGAAAUGACAACUUUGAGCAGCAGAGGGCGGCCUUGCCUUAACUUUAGUGAAAAUAAAGCAGCGUAUUCUGGUUUGAAGAAAAGGAAUCAUUGGGGCAACAUUGAUUUUAAUGUUCUGUGAAUUAUAAUUUCAGGUCGAUGCUUCUUCUGUCGCAGGCUGGACGACCCGUCCCACUGGCCGCGCACAGCUUUAACUUUAAAACAACCACAUGGGUCAAAUAAUGAUUCCAAAUGUACUCACUAACAUUCUGGCACAUGAUCCAAACACACUGCUACAACAUUUAAAUGCACAACACAAAUAAUAACUGUUACAAUGUGGAUUACUGACUGUUUUCAUGCUGUUCUGUAAGAGAAGCUUCCUCUUGACUCACGUCCUCGCUGCGUUUGACCUCACGGGUCACAGAUGAGAGCGGCGUCCACUUAUUUACACAUCCUUUCUGUGGGAAACAUUCGUGAGCGGGCUUCUCCUUCAGAAGAAAGGAGCCAGAAAGGACGUUUUGUGUCGGCGUUCACCCAGGAGGGAUUAGAGGUCAGAGGUCUCGAAAUGAGCUCAUAGAGAAGGAGAGCUGAGAGGAGAACUCGUCAACAGAGACUCACAUCGUAACAGUUGUUAGUGACUCACAUGUAAGGUUGUUUGUGUUGAAAAAGAAACAACAAGGCGCCACUGAGCGACAUUUACUUCCAUUAAAACAACAGCAGCACCACCACCGUCGCACCGUCCUCGUCUAGUGAAGCUCAGCUCGGGACGGAGGGAGGAAGAAACACACCUGUCGGCCAUCUUGUUGGACACCAACAGUCACAUAUAUAGACCACCGACCGCGGUACACACACACACACACACACACGCGUGUGCGGUCUUGCUGUAAUCAGAGUCCAGCGUGUUUCUCUCAGCGGUGUAAUUCAUCAAAAUGACGGCUGCCAGUGAGUCUCAGUCAGCAGCAAUCAAUCAUCAAUCUACCUGCUCCUUGUUUCCCAUCAACACUCACACACACACUCACACAGAGCCCGUGUGUAGAGCAAGGUAUCCAUCCCUCCAUAUCUCCAUCCCUCCAUCCCUCCAUCCCUCCAUAUCUCCAUAUAUCAUCUCUCCACAUCUCCAUCCCUCCAUAUCUCCAUAUCUCCAUCCCUCCAUAUAUCCAUCCCUCCAUAUCUCCAUAUCUCCAUCCCUCCAUAUCUCCAUAUCUCCAUAUCUCUAUCCCUCCAUCCUUUCAUAUCUCCAUAUCUCCAUCCCUCCAUCCCUACAUAUCUCCAUCCUUCCAUCCCUCCAUAUCUCCAUCCCUCCCUCCCUCCAUAUCUCCAUCUCUCCAGCUCUCCAUCCCUCCAUCCCUCCAUAUCUCCAUCCUUCCAUAUCUCCAUCCCUCCAUAUCUCCAUCCCUCCAUAUCUCCAUCUCUCCAGCUCUCCAUCCCUCCAUCCCUCCAUCCCUCCAUCCCUUCAUAUCUCCAUCCCUCCAGCCCUUCUGCGAGCUGCUGAUUUGGUUUUUCUUCACACUCUCGAGUCUUUAUCUGGAUACGGAGGAGUUUGACACUUGUUCAUGAAGAGCAGUUGAAGGUUUCCUUGCAGCGGGUUCAUUGCCCCCCGUUGUUCUUCCUCUCCAAAGGCCUCGGCGUGGAGACGUGAGAGAACGAGAGGCGGUGCGUUUUGUGCGCAAGAAAAAUGCUUCAUUAAACACAAUGGGGCUUUUUCUUU
Long non-coding RNA from Gasterosteus aculeatus aculeatus (three-spined stickleback), 3400 nucleotides. Lineage: Eukaryota; Metazoa; Chordata; Actinopteri; Perciformes; Gasterosteidae. The record is from Ensembl.